UUUACGGAGAGUUUGAUCCUGGCUCAGGAUGAACGCUGGCGGCGUGCUUAACACAUGCAAGUCGAACGGUGAAGGAGAGCUUGCUCUCCGGAUCAGUGGCGAACGGGUGAGUAACACGUGAGCAAUCUGCCCCUGACUCUGGGAUAAGCGUUGGAAACGACGUCUAAUACCGGAUACGAGCUGCGAAGGCAUCUUCAGCAGCUGGAAAGAACUUCGGUCAGGGAUGAGCUCGCGGCCUAUCAGCUAGUUGGUGAGGUAAUGGC
Molecule: ribosomal RNA, 263 nt
Filed under: Microbacterium sp.
Lineage: Bacteria; Bacillati; Actinomycetota; Actinomycetes; Micrococcales; Microbacteriaceae
Description: partial 16S ribosomal RNA
Rfam family: Bacterial small subunit ribosomal RNA
Source: RNAcentral